UGAGCUUCUGUUUCGUAUUCGUUCUUUGAAAUGCUCCGAAAUGGUCCAUACGCAAUUGAUAUGUUCCGAAAUGUUUCAUUUAUUAUUGAUAUGCUCCGAAACAUUUCAUACGCCUUUGAUAUGCUCCGAAAUGUUUCAUUUACUAUUGUUAUGCUUCGAAAUGUUCCAUAUGUAGUUGAUAUGUUCCGGAACAUUUUAUACGCCAUUGAUAUGCUCCAAUUACUCUGUGCUCCAUUUGCUAUGAACUGAUAUAUUCUGAAAUGUCCUAUUUGCCAUUAAUAUGCUCCGGAUCAUCUCGUACGCUAUUGAUAUGCUCCAAUUGCUCUAUGCUCC
This 333-nucleotide long non-coding RNA is filed under the name Musa acuminata (dwarf banana). RNAcentral describes it as "long non-coding RNA (MACU_LNC011447)". Lineage: Eukaryota; Viridiplantae; Streptophyta; Magnoliopsida; Zingiberales; Musaceae. The record is from RNAcentral.